Myotis lucifugus (little brown bat) is the source of this 107-nucleotide small nuclear RNA. NCBI's taxonomy places the organism in Eukaryota, Metazoa, Chordata, Mammalia, Chiroptera, Vespertilionidae. The record is from Ensembl.
GUGCUCUCUUUGGCAGCACACACACUAACGUUGGAACGAUACAGAGAAGAUUAGCAUGGCCCCUACGCAAGGAUGACACACAAAUUUGUGAAGCGUUCAUAUUAAAA